This 253-nucleotide ribosomal RNA is filed under the name uncultured bacterium. Its description in RNAcentral is "partial 16S ribosomal RNA". It matches the Rfam family "Bacterial small subunit ribosomal RNA", at positions 524 to 776 of the family's 1533-position model. The record is from RNAcentral.
UACAGAGGGGGCAAGCGUUGUUCGGAAUUACUGGGCGUAAAGGGCGCGUAGGCGGUCUGUUAAGGCGAGUGUGAAAUCCCCGGGCUCAACCCGGGAACUGCGUCCGAUACUGGCAGGCUUGAAUUCGGGAGAGGGAUGUGGAAUUCCAGGUGUAGCGGUGAAAUGCGUAGAUAUCUGGAGGAACACCGGUGGCGAAGGCGGCAUCCUGGACCGAUAUUGACGCUGAUGCGCGAAAGCCAGGGGAGCAAACGGG